This 497-nucleotide ribosomal RNA is filed under the name uncultured bacterium. RNAcentral describes it as "partial 16S ribosomal RNA". It matches the Rfam family "Bacterial small subunit ribosomal RNA", at positions 28 to 507 of the family's 1533-position model. The record is from RNAcentral.
GAUGAACGCUGGCGGCGUGCCUAAUACAUGCAAGUCGAGCGAACAGACGAGGAGCUUGCUCCUCUGACGUUAGCGGCGGACGGGUGAGUAACACGUGGAUAACCUACCUAUAAGACUGGGAUAACUUCGGGAAACCGGAGCUAAUACCGGAUAAUAUAUUGAACCGCAUGGUUCAAUAGUGAAACACGGUUUUGCUGUCACUUAUAGAUGGAUCCGCGCCGCAUUAGCUAGUUGGUAAGGUAACGGCUUACCAAGGCAACGAUGCGUAGCCGACCUGAGAGGGUGAUCGGCCACACUGGAACUGAGACACGGUCCAGACUCCUACGGGAGGCAGCAGUGGGGAAUAUUCCGCAAUGGGCGAAAGCCUGACGGAGCAACGCCGCGUGAGUGAUGAAGGUCUUCGGAUCGUAAAGCUCUGUUAUUAGGGAAGAACAAAUGUGUAAGUAACUAUGCCCGUCUUGACGGUACCUAAUCAGAAAGCCACGGCUAACUACGUG